AGAGUUUGAUCCUGGCUCAGAAUCAACGCUGGCGGCGUGCCUCAGACAUGCAAGUCGAACGCGAAAGCCCCCUUCGGGGGGCAAGUAGAGUGGCGCACGGGUGAGUAACACGUAGGUAAUCUACCUUUGGAUGGGGAAUAACCACCGGAAACGGUGGCUAAUACCGCAUAAUGCAGCGGCACCUAAUGGUGACAGUUGUUAAAGCGGGGGAUCGCAAGACCUCGCGUCUGAAGAGGAGCCUGCGGCAGAUUAGCUAGUUGGUAAGGUAAAGGCUUACCAAGGCGAUGAUCUGUAGCCGGCCUGAGAGGGCGGUCGGCCACACUGACACUGACAUACGGGUCAGACUCCUACGGGAGGCAGCAGUCGGGAAUUUUGGGCAAUGGGCGAAAGCCUGACCCAGCAACGCCGCGUGAAGGAUGAAAUCCCUCGGGAUGUAAACUUCGCAAGAACGGGAAGAAUAAGCCGGUGUCAACACCACCGGCGAUGACGGUACCGUUUGUAAGCUCCGGCUAACUCCGUGCCAGCAGCCGCGGUAAUACGGGGGGAGCAAGCGUUGUUCGGAUUUACUGGGCGUAAAGGGCGCGUAGGCGGGCUGUCAAGUCUGGGGUGAAAUCCCGCGGCUCAACCGUGGAACUGCCUUAGAUACUGACGGCCUC
Molecule: ribosomal RNA, 656 nt
Filed under: uncultured Acidobacteriota bacterium
Lineage: Bacteria; Pseudomonadati; Acidobacteriota
Description: bacterial SSU rRNA
Rfam family: Bacterial small subunit ribosomal RNA
Source: RNAcentral